RNAcentral lists this long non-coding RNA (460 nucleotides) under Rattus norvegicus (Norway rat). RNAcentral's name for it is "long non-coding RNA NONRATT020749". Lineage: Eukaryota; Metazoa; Chordata; Mammalia; Rodentia; Muridae. The record is from RNAcentral.
AGCAGUGUUGGUGGUCUCUUCCGCUCUGCAGCCUCAGGAGUGCCCACCUGACCAGGCGGUUGGGUCUCUCUCUCACCGGGUCUGGGAGCAGAGAGCUGCUGCGGGCCGGGAUCCUUGGGUGUGGGACUUCCGGUAAACACAGAACGUGCCCGGUCCUAGAGAAAUUCUGCUUCCGUGUGUCCCAAGCUCACCAGGCAGCUUUCUUGCAGCAGAAAAUUUGGUCUUACCUGUGGUCCCGAGGCUCAGGUUCGCUCGUGGGGUGCUGCCCAGGGGCUCUCUGCAGCGGCAGCAACCAGGAACAUUAGAAUGUUUUUAUCUGUGGAAUUUACUCUUCACAAACCCUUGAAACUUUUUCCUGGGAAAACUGUAUGUUUAAGAUACACAUUUAAGGUUGGGGAUUUAGCUCUGUGGUAGAGCGCUUGCCUAGCAAGCGCAAGGCCCUGGGUUCGGUCCCCAGUUC